RNAcentral lists this ribosomal RNA (497 nucleotides) under uncultured bacterium. RNAcentral describes it as "partial 16S ribosomal RNA". It matches the Rfam family "Bacterial small subunit ribosomal RNA", at positions 28 to 507 of the family's 1533-position model. The record is from RNAcentral.
GAUGAACGCUGGCGGCGUGCCUAAUACAUGCAAGUCGAGCGAACAGACGAGGAGCUUGCUCCUCUGACGUUAGCGGCGGACGGGUGAGUAACACGUGGAUAACCUACCUAUAAGACUGGGAUAACUUCGGGAAACCGGAGCUAAUACCGGAUAAUAUAUUGAACCGCAUGGUUCAAUAGUGAAAGACGGUUUUGCUGUCACUUAUAGAUGGAUCCGCGCCGCAGUAGCUAGUUGGUAAGGUAACGGCUUACCAAGGCGACGAUGCGUAGCCGACCUGAGAGGGUGAUCGGCCACACUGGAACUGAGACACGGUCCAGACUCCUACGGGAGGCAGCAGUAGGGAAUCUUCCGCAAUGGGCGAAAGCCUGACGGAGCAACGCCGCGUGAGUGAUGAAGGUCCUCGGAUCGUAAAACUCUGUUAUUAGGGAAGAACAAAUGUGUAAGUAACUAUGCACGUCUUGACGGUACCUAAUCAGAAAGCCACGGCUAACUACGUG